This is a long non-coding RNA of Dama dama (fallow deer), 1728 nucleotides long. RefSeq lists it as uncharacterized. The record is from RefSeq and is a predicted model, not a curated record. The transcript is spliced from 3 exons. Lineage: Eukaryota; Metazoa; Chordata; Mammalia; Artiodactyla; Cervidae.
CUGGGGUGCGGGGAACUUCACUUCGUGGUGGAGACAGGCUUGGUGUCACUCAGACCGGAGUUCAAGUCUCAUCUUUGCUACUGACUGCCUAUGUAAUCUCAAGCAGGUUUUGUCCCCUCUGGACCUGUUUUCUUAUCUGUGAAGUGGGGAUAACUGCAGUACCUCCCACACAGAAUUGCCAUGCAGGUUAAAGGAAGAAAUAUCCCUGAGUAUAUUUUCUGGAAUACUCAUGUGUUGUGCCCCAAGGUCAGGUUUUGUCACACCACACACAGCCUGGGGUGUCUCAGUGCCUUGCCCCAGUCCUGCAGGCCCACACAGCUCCAGCUCAGUCAGACAAGCUUCUGUAAACACCACUUUCAGCUUAGGAACCUCCAGGGGCUCCCUCUGGCCAGUGAUUCUCAACUCCAGCUACGCAGCUUCAGCCCUUCAGAAAAAAUAUAGAAUCUGCACCUCUACCCAGACUAAUUGAAUCAGAAACUCCAACAGUUGCCAUGCUGGCCUGAAGCUGUAUAAGCUCCUGGUAUUUCCUGCCCUGCUCUUUCUUGGGCAUAUAAGCCAGUCUGCUACCCUGGGGAGGGAGGGAGUAUAAUUCAGCAAGUUCUGGUUGAUUCCUGAUCCCCAGAAUCUCCUCUGAGAGAAACGUGUGAAUGUACACAAGUGAAAACCAGGGCAGAUCAGGGUUUUGUUGCAGCAUUGCUUGCGAUAGGAAAUAAACAUUGUAACAGCUAAUAUCCAGACAGCUCACUAAGUGCGGGGCACUGUUCUAAGCAUUUGGGUGUAAUUUAACUCAUUUAAUCAUCACAUCAACCUAUAAGGCAGAAAGAGAAAAAUUCCUUCCUUAAAGGUCAUUUUUAACACCAAGGUUCCGUAAAGACCUCAGCCCUCCACCGGAACAGCUAACUUGGGGUUUCCUCUUCACCCGAGUCUCCCCAGGCAGAGGUGCUCCCCAAGAGCCAAGAGGUUGAGGGAUUGUAAGGGGUCCUCUGGGAGUGUGCAGCCUUGGUUUCUGGGAGUGGGCCCCAUGCAAUGCCAGGUGGGUCACUGGAACCUCAGGACGGGUAGGGCUGGGAGGCCUGGGAUGUUCAGUCACAGCCCCAGGCUACACUGUGGAGGUUUAAGGGGAUGAGGCCUUUGAGGUUUCUGGGGCCAGUGGGGACCUCGGAACCGUGAGGCUUCAGGGAGGCGGGGCCGCCCCUUCAGAGCCGUUAGAAUGCUUGGAGGUGGGUCCCAUACCAGGAUUGGGCAGCCAGAGCCCUAAGGGGCGGGGCCAAGGGCCCAGGAGGCGGGUCGAGAGGCUGGACGCAUCCUAGGAUUGGGCAGUAGGAGCGGCGGGAGGCGGGGCCGCGAGCCAGGCGCGUCCCAGGACCUGCAGUCGGAGACCCAGGCCGGCCGCCUGGGCGCCGGGCGGAGCUCACAGAUUGAGCCAAAGCCACUGACCCUGGGGAUGCUCAUGGGGAGGGAACCCUGGAGCCAGCCCACCCGUGUGAAAAUCCUGCCUCUGCCACUGUCUGCGUGACCUUGGCUGCAUCACUGAGAAGGGAGCUGCCAUAGACCGCUCAAGGAAGAGGAAGACCAUGCCUGGAAUACAGACUGCAAUCCCGCACUCCUGCUGCCGUGGGUAGUGGAGGAAGAUGCUGUGGAAGAUGUUGCGAGGCCGGAAGACCUCCUUGGGGAAGACGUCAAGGAGCAGGUUGUAGACAGACAGGUCCCGCUCGACGCCGUACUCGC